GGGAUAUUGCGCAAUGGGGGAAACCCUGACGCAGCAACGCCGCGUGGAGGAUGACGGUUUUCGGAUUGUAAACUCCUUUUAUAAGGGACGAACUAAGACGGUACCUUAUGAAUAAGCUCCGGCUAACUACGUGCCAGCAGCCGCGGUAAUACGUAGGGAGCAAGCGUUGUCCGGAUUUACUGGGUGUAAAGGGUGCGUAGGCGGCUUGGUAAGUCAGAUGUGAAAUGUAUGGGCUCAACCCAUGAACUGCAUUUGAAACUAUCGAGCUUGAGUGAUGUAGAGGCAGGCGGAAUUCCCUGUGUAGCGGUGAAAUGCGUAGAGAUAGGGAGGAACACCAGUGGCGAAGGCGGCCUGCUGGGCAUUAACUGACGCUGAGGCACGAAAGCGUGGGUAGCAAACA
Molecule: ribosomal RNA, 400 nt
Filed under: uncultured bacterium
Lineage: Bacteria
Description: bacterial SSU rRNA
Rfam family: Bacterial small subunit ribosomal RNA
Source: RNAcentral